Schizosaccharomyces pombe (fission yeast) is the source of this 238-nucleotide non-coding RNA. Lineage: Eukaryota; Fungi; Ascomycota; Schizosaccharomycetes; Schizosaccharomycetales; Schizosaccharomycetaceae. The record is from the annotation of a GenBank genome assembly.
AAGAAGGUUGUUUGGAAUCCAGCGAACCUAUUUUUAAAGAUUGGCUAAACUGCAUAAACUCUUUAAUCUGUCCUUCCUUUUCACGUCUGGAGAGAGGACCAGCCUUACGGCGGGCGUUGAAAAACCUUUCAGCUGCUCGAGAAUCUGGACCAGGUGCGCGAGGCAAAGCAAGGUGACGGUGAGACACAAUUGCUGGAUCAUCAGGAGGAACUACUUUCUGCUGUGGAUGUUGAUGAGG